UCUACUCUUCCUGUCUUUCCUCCAUCGCCAACACAGACACUUCCUUUUUUAGGACACUAUGUGGGCUGUGUGCUUCUGUGCCCAGGCAAGGACAGCCUGCAGGGUCGCCAGGCCCACAGAGGGAUUCCGAGGACAUCUGCUGAUUCAGAGGACUGAAUGAGGGACUGGUGGACUUUGGAUACAGAGAAGAUGUCAAGAGAGAUCAAGAUUGGGCAGGUCUGUGUGAGGGUUCAUGGCUCUGAGCAGUCACUUACCAAUUGAGUGACCUUAGACUUUUUGACUUUUCUAAACCUCAAUUUCUUCAACUGUAAGAUGGGUCAGGAGAAGAAACAUAAUAGUAAGAUGGAGUAAAGGACAAAACACUGGUCCCUCACUGCUGCCCCUGAGGGAGAAAAGCAUCACAGGACUACAGCACUUCCAUCCCAUGCGUGGAAACCGAUACUCUUUCAAUACCUCUUGAACCCUGGGUCUCCCUUCUAGAGAAAAUGUCUGCUGCAAAGUUGGUUCUCUUCUCCUUCCCAGAUCUAACAAAGGGCCCAUAUGGACAGGAGUUUAUAAUGCUCCACAAAAUUUAGUAUUUCAGCAAUAGGAAAAUAGUUGGUUAAAAUCAGUGUACACAGCACCUGAACUUGUUUGUUUAUUUGUUCAAAACAUGUACAGAGGACAUCAUUGUGCCAGAUCCUGUGACAGUGGAGUGGGGACAGAAGUGAAUAAACAGAGCCUCGAUCCCUUUGCAGUAAAAAUGAGAUAGA
Non-coding RNA from Castor canadensis (American beaver), 752 nucleotides. NCBI's taxonomy places the organism in Eukaryota, Metazoa, Chordata, Mammalia, Rodentia, Castoridae. The record is from RefSeq and is a predicted model, not a curated record.